Molecule: transfer RNA, 119 nt
Filed under: Podospora comata
Lineage: Eukaryota; Fungi; Ascomycota; Sordariomycetes; Sordariales; Podosporaceae
Rfam family: tRNA
About the family: Transfer RNA (tRNA) molecules are approximately 80 nucleotides in length. Their secondary structure includes four short double-helical elements and three loops (D, anti-codon, and T loops). Further hydrogen bonds mediate the characteristic L-shaped molecular structure. tRNAs have two regions of fundamental functional importance: the anti-codon, which is responsible for specific mRNA codon recognition, and the 3' end, to which the tRNAs corresponding amino acid is attached (by aminoacyl-tRNA synthetases). tRNAs cope with the degeneracy of the genetic code in two manners: having more than one tRNA (with a specific anti-codon) for a particular amino acid; and 'wobble' base-pairing, i.e. permitting non-standard base-pairing at the 3rd anti-codon position.
Source: RNAcentral
GGGCGUGUGGCUCAGUUGGUAGAGCGUUCGCUUAGCAUAUUUCUCGGUUUCCGAUUAAAAUUGGGAGUCUGGGUACGGAUAUAUGCGAAAGGUCCUGGGUUCGAUUCCCAGCCCGUCCA